This 208-nucleotide long non-coding RNA is filed under the name Lathyrus oleraceus (garden pea). RNAcentral describes it as "Pisum sativum (pea) long non-coding RNA (PSAT_LNC021019)". The record is from RNAcentral. Lineage: Eukaryota; Viridiplantae; Streptophyta; Magnoliopsida; Fabales; Fabaceae.
UUGUGAACUUUUUGAUGUUUGCUUGUAUGUGAUAGGGAUCCCACUUUGAGAUUGUGAAAAGAGGACCAUUGUCACAAGUAGCCAAGUUAAGAGACAAGCCAAAUGGAGAUCCUAGGAGCUUGAAUUCAAUUUGUUGAUUGCUUGUUUGUGUGCUAAGUCUAGAGGAAAGGAGCAUCUUGAAUCAUCUCUAUGAUUCCACGAAAAGGAA